CCCUUAGUUGUUCUGGGCCGCACGCGUGCUACACUGAGUGGAUCAGCGGGUCAGGUUGCGCGAAAGUGUUUCCUAAUCUUGAAAUCCGCUCGUGAUGGGGAUUGACGGUUGCAAUUUUCCGUCAUGAACGAGGAAUACCUUGUAAGCGCGGGUCAUCAUCCCGCGCUGAAUACGUCCCUGCCCUUUGUACACACCGCCCGUCGCUCCUACCGAUUGAGUGGUCCGGUGAGGCUUUGGGAUCUGAGCGGAAAGAGCGUUUCGCUGUUUCUGCUCGGAAAACUCAGUCGAACCUUAUCAUUUAGAGGAAGGAGAAGUCGUAACA
This 322-nucleotide ribosomal RNA is filed under the name uncultured eukaryote. Its description in RNAcentral is "partial 18S ribosomal RNA". It matches the Rfam family "Eukaryotic small subunit ribosomal RNA", at positions 1470 to 1796 of the family's 1831-position model. The record is from RNAcentral.